UUUUUUUUCUUUCUUCUUUCCAAGAACAGAGCAUCCCCUAUUCUUUGGACGUGAGCUCCCCUCCUUCCCUCUUGAACCAACCGACCACCUCCCCUAUUUCUUGGCCCCAACCCCAACCGAGAGCUCCCCCUUUUGAUGGCUCCCUCUCCUUUUAUAGAUCAACCCCCCUGGGGAGGGGGAGGAUACUUGGGAUCACGAAAGGAAGGAAAGAGGCGGACUCUUGGGCUGCUGGGAGGAGCCGAUCACGGCCAUGGUGGAGGCUAGAUCGUCGAGAGGAAGGACGUGGAUUCCCAUCUGGCUGGCCACAAAAUCGCUGGAUUACAGGAUAAUAAUCCGGAUUGGAUCUAGGAACGGGAUGCUUCACGGCUGGCCGCAGGAUCACUGGGAGGAGCCGGGAGCAUGAAGAGGGCAGACGCGAUCAACGGGAGGAGGAAGACAUGGAUGAUGGAUGCGGAAAUGGAAGGCUGAGAUGCUGAUCUGGUGCGGUUCCUUGAUGGCAAGAAACGGAAGAGAUGAAGGCCUGCGGGAUCGCUGGGAGGAGCUAGAACUCGGAAGGGAUUUGGUGCGGAUGCAUACGGAUGGGAGAAGAGGCUAGGAGCUCGCGAUCAACGGGCGGAAGUAGAGGCAGAGGUGGGGGUCUUGAAUCCGGAAGGGAGAUGCUGUGGGAUCAUUUGGGAGGAGCCGUUCAUGGAAGAAAUCUAGUGCGGAUGCGGCUGGAUCACAGGAUGCUUGUAGAUGCGGAGGAGACGGAUGGGUUGAUGCUAGAAAUCCGGAAUGGGCGCAUGGCUGGGAAUGGAAGGAACUGGACACGGUGCGGUUGAGGAGCUGGGAUGCUUGAAUCGCUCGGAAUGGUAGCUGGAAUGGAAGGUUGCAACGCUAGUUGGGACUUGGCUAUGCAGGAAGCUGGGAUUUGAUCCGGAUGUGUCACGGAUCUGGGAAAUUCUGGGAGCACAUUGGGAUUGAAGGCUGAAGAUCGUUGAUGACGGAAGAGAUCCGGUUGCAUCAUGGGGCUGAGCUCCAUCACGUGAAGAUGCUGGCUUGACUUGAGCUCGGGCUGCCGGGCAUUGGGCUCAAACUCAAUGUUAAUUGGUUUCUUGGAUUACUUGCACUCAAACACAAAUACAACGUUAAUUAGUUAAUUUUAUUAUUAAUGAUUAGCUAUAAUACUAAUUAAGAUGGUAUGAUGAUUGCACUUUUGUUCUCUCAUCAACUGACCCUGAUGAUAGAAAGUCUACAUCAGGAUAUGUAUUCUUAUGCAAUGGAGGAUCG
Molecule: long non-coding RNA, 1269 nt
Filed under: Phoenix dactylifera (date palm)
Lineage: Eukaryota; Viridiplantae; Streptophyta; Magnoliopsida; Arecales; Arecaceae
Description: long non-coding RNA (PDAC_LNC005037)
Source: RNAcentral